RNAcentral lists this transfer RNA (69 nucleotides) under Pielomastax zhengi. Its description in RNAcentral is "tRNA-Met". The record is from RNAcentral. Lineage: Eukaryota; Metazoa; Arthropoda; Insecta; Orthoptera; Episactidae.
AGAAAGGUAAGCUAAUUAAAGCUAACGGGUUCAUAUCCCGAUCAUGGAAGUUUAACCUUCCCCUCUCUA